Pipra filicauda (Wire-tailed manakin) is the source of this 790-nucleotide long non-coding RNA. RefSeq lists it as uncharacterized. The transcript is spliced from 5 exons. The record is from RefSeq and is a predicted model, not a curated record. NCBI's taxonomy places the organism in Eukaryota, Metazoa, Chordata, Aves, Passeriformes, Pipridae.
AGCGCUUGGAUGAGCUUCUGACGGGUUUUACCGCGGCUACAGCACAGCAAGUUGCAGAUGCUGAGCCUACAGUCCUGGCAGGUGGAACCUUGGCCUGAAGGACCUUGAGAAUUCAGGAAGGCUCAUGUGUCUCCAGAAACUGGAAUAAUACAAUCAAACUGGAAUCCAGUCUGUGGUUUUCACAGGAUAAAAAGGAUGACUCAUUUGGGAUAGGAACUGCAGCAGCACUCUCCGUUCAGGACUAAGAGAGGCGGGGAUGUCCUCACCCACAGCCCCUACGUGGCCGUUCUGAGCUGCCAUCAUGAGCGGUGUUUUCCCUGCGUGAUCCGCAGCGUUCACUUGUGCGCUGUGGCUCAGGAGGAGCUGGAGGCACUCCACGUGGUCGGCGAAGGCUGCGGCGUGAAGGGGCGUUCUGGGGGAAAGGAACACGGCCACAGCUUUUGCUAAAGAAUCGCAAGAGUCCCGUGUGCCCACCUUCCCAAAAACCACAAAGUGCAAUUUUUUUUUUUUCCCCGCGAAACUUAAAGUUAUCACCAGGAGAAAGUUAUAGUAGCAGCAUCUUAAACAUAUCCUAAAGCAACAUCUGCAUUUGUUACUGGAGAUUUCUACUUACACAGCACAGUGCAAUGGAGAGAAGCUAUUACCAUAGAAUUUGUGGAAAAGUUUUUGUUCCAAUAGUACCUCUAUGCAGUUUUCAUGACCUAUAAGAGAUCAGAUAUUUCACAGUGUUGCACAAAGCAGAGGCCACUGCUACCCUGUACGGAGCUCCUCCAGGAACAGCAGAGGAGAC